Molecule: long non-coding RNA, 549 nt
Organism: Sinocyclocheilus anshuiensis
Lineage: Eukaryota; Metazoa; Chordata; Actinopteri; Cypriniformes; Cyprinidae
Exons: 3
Source: RefSeq, a predicted model, not a curated record
AAAAAAGUCAUACAGGUUAACAUUGACAUUAGGCAGCUCAGAUGUUCUGCAAAAAUUCUCCUUGUGUUCCCCAAAAGAAAAAAGGUUCACACACACGCACCAGGAGGGAUCUGAAGCCCACGCGACACAGACACCUCAACCAAAUGUAAAACAAACGCACUCGAUUUCACUCUUCAAACAGACGUUCACCACCUUCAAAGCCUUACGACGAAAGCGGAGCGGAACGCUCCAAACCAGGCAACAAACAACUCGUUUAUACAUUCUCCUAAUUCCUCUCCGACGGGCCUCGAUGUCUUUCUUCAGCAACAGACUGUUGGGGAUCACGGCUUCAACGUUGCGGUUUUAAGACAGUCGUCUUCCCUCCCCGCUCCUCCGUAUCUCUGUGAUAAACGCCGGAGCAAAUUCAAAGCCAAACAAACACGGAUUCAAAGAAAGAUUUUUGUGGCAACUUAAGGAAAGCGCAUGUUCGUGACAACGUGUCGCCGGAGAGUUUGUUCAGUCGGUGCUCGCUCAGAUAGACCCUGGCUGCUCAUCCUGAGCAGGGAAGUG